ACAGAGGUGGCAAGCGUUGUUCGGAAUUACUGGGCGUAAAGGGCGCGUAGGCGGCCUUCUAAGUCAGACGUGAAAUCCCCCGGCUUAACCUGGGAACUGCGUCUGAUACUGGGAGGCUUGAGUAUGGGAGAGGGAUGUAGAAUUCCAGGUGUAGCGGUGAAAUGCGUAGGUAUCUGGAGGAAUACCGGUGGCGAAGGCGGCAUCCUGGACCAUUACUGACGCUGAGGCGCGACAGCGUGGGGAGCAAACAGGA
RNAcentral lists this ribosomal RNA (253 nucleotides) under uncultured prokaryote. RNAcentral's name for it is "partial 16S ribosomal RNA". It matches the Rfam family "Bacterial small subunit ribosomal RNA", at positions 525 to 777 of the family's 1533-position model. The record is from RNAcentral.